RNAcentral lists this ribosomal RNA (478 nucleotides) under uncultured bacterium. RNAcentral describes it as "partial 16S ribosomal RNA". It matches the Rfam family "Bacterial small subunit ribosomal RNA", at positions 28 to 507 of the family's 1533-position model. The record is from RNAcentral.
GAUGAACGCUGGCGGCGUGCCUAACACAUGCAAGUCGAACGGAGUCCAGCCUUUAAGCCCUUCCGGUCAAAGAGGGGAAGACUGAGUGGCGGACGGGUGAGUAACACGUGGGCAACCUGGCUCAUAGAGGGGGAUAACAGAGAGAAAUUUCUGCUAAUACCGCAUAAGCACACACUGCCGCAUGGCAGAGGGUGAAAAGAGAAUCGCUAUGAGAUGGACCCGCGUCUGAUUAGCCAGUUGGCAGGGUAAGAGCCUACCAAAGCGACGAUCAGUAGCCGAUCUGAGAGGAUGAACGGCCACAUUGGGACUGAGACACGGCCCAAACUCCUACGGGAGGCAGCAGUGGGGGAUAUUGCACAAUGGGGGGAACCCUGAUGCAGCGACGCCGCGUGAGUGAAGAAGUAUUUCGGUAUGUAAAGCUCUAUCAGCAGGGAAGAUAAUGACAGUACCUGAAUAAGAAGCCCCGGCUAACUACGUG